GAUGAACGCUGGCGGCGUGCCUAAUACAUGCAAGUCGAGCGAACGGACGAGAAGCUUGCUUCUCUGAUGUUAGCGGCGGACGGGUGAGUAACACGUGGAUAACCUACCUAUAAGACUGGGAUAACUUCGGGAAACCGGAGCUAAUACCGGAUAAUAUUUUGAACCGCAUGGUUCAAAAGUGAAAGACGGUCUUGCUGUCACUUAUAGAUGGAUCCGCGCUGCAUUAGCUAGUUGGUAAGGUAACGGCUUACCAAGGCAACGAUGCAUAGCCGACCGGAGAGGGUGAUCGGCCACCCUGGAACUGAGACACGGUCCAGACUACUACGAGAGGCAGCAGUAGGGAAUCUUCCGCAAUGGGCGAAAGCCUGACGGAGCAACGCCGCGUGAGUGAUGAAGGUCUUCGGAUCGUAAAGCUCUGUUAUUAGGGAAGAACAUAUGUGUAAGUAACUGUGCACAUCUUGACGGUACCUAAUCAGAAAGCCACGGCUAACUACGUG
RNAcentral lists this ribosomal RNA (497 nucleotides) under uncultured bacterium. Its description in RNAcentral is "partial 16S ribosomal RNA". It matches the Rfam family "Bacterial small subunit ribosomal RNA", at positions 28 to 507 of the family's 1533-position model. The record is from RNAcentral.